This 190-nucleotide ribosomal RNA is filed under the name Arilpa gidya. Its description in RNAcentral is "partial 18S ribosomal RNA". It matches the Rfam family "Eukaryotic small subunit ribosomal RNA", at positions 1182 to 1371 of the family's 1831-position model. The record is from RNAcentral. Lineage: Eukaryota; Metazoa; Arthropoda; Insecta; Orthoptera; Gryllidae.
CAGGAGUGGAGCCUGCGGCUUAAUUUGACUCAACACGGGAAANCUCACCCGGCCCGGACACUGKAAGGAUUGACAGAUUGAKAGCUCUUUCUUGAUUCSGUGGGUGGUGGUGCAUGGCCGUUCUUAGUUGGUGGAUCGAUUUGUCUGSUUAAUUGCGAUAACGAACGAGAYCCUAGCCUGCUAACUAGUC